UACGAAGGGGGCUAGCGUUGUUCGGAACUACUGGGCGUAAAGCGUGCGCAGGCGGCCUCUCAAGUCAGGGGUGAAAGCCCAGAGCUCAACUCUGGAAUUGCCUUUGAGACUGAGUGGCUUGAGUACGGGAGAGGUGAGUGGAAUUCCCAGUGUAGAGGUGAAAUUCGUAGAUAUCGGGAGGAACACCGGUGGCGAAGGCGGCGACCUGGGUCGAUACUGACGCUGAGGUGCGAAAGCGUGGGGAGCAAACAGG
RNAcentral lists this ribosomal RNA (253 nucleotides) under uncultured bacterium. RNAcentral's name for it is "partial 16S ribosomal RNA". It matches the Rfam family "Bacterial small subunit ribosomal RNA", at positions 524 to 776 of the family's 1533-position model. The record is from RNAcentral.